Molecule: long non-coding RNA, 774 nt
Organism: Drosophila nasuta
Lineage: Eukaryota; Metazoa; Arthropoda; Insecta; Diptera; Drosophilidae
Exons: 2
Source: RefSeq, a predicted model, not a curated record
AGGUAGUUGUCUAAAUUAAAGUUGCAAAUUAAAGUUGCAAAGUUGCAAAUAAACAUCUGAUUGUCACAAAUCAAAGCAUCAGCUGAUGCGCCAAAGCCUUAAUUAAGUUGGCAACUCCACUUAGCAUAGCUCAACUGUUGAGUCUAUCGAACGGGGAGUAAGUAUUGCAUUGAUCCACACAGAGAUGCUUUGAGCACUCACUAAGGGCAGCCAUCUUCACUUAUGCACUUUUUUUCACUGAGAACAUUAAUACAUCAGACCAAAAAUUUGCAAAGAAAAAUUGCAAAAAUAAAUAUAAAAUAAUACUGCAACCGAGAAAGGAAUGCCAACACUUUUGGGCAUUCGAGAUUUUCUUUUGUCCCAACUUGGAUUGGCCGGCUCUUUUAGAGAAUUUAGAAUUGCUAAAUUUUCUCUUUGCCACUGAUUGCUUAUUGGUCAUACCGCUGGCAAUUGCACACGCUAGACCCUCCAUAGAGUGUAAUAGGUGUUGCACAUUGCGGUCCUCGCCUUCCCCCCCCACCUGUUGAACAGGUGCCACUAGUGAAGCGCACGCGGAUAUUCACCCUAACCUGCAAGCCUAAGGGAGAAUUGGUGAAGGCAGCGAACCUCGCUGCGAACAGCCAGCUAGAGUGGGAAUAAGGCGAUAAUCUUGCGGCAGCGAAUCUUCGCUGCAGAUUAUCAAACGGUAUUCGAUAGCGGCUAAGCGAAGGCGAUACUAGAGACGUUCAAAGGAGCGUAGAUCUUCCGGCGAGAGAUCUACGGCUCCACACAAAA